AUAAUAAAUGAAUGAAUAACGAAUAAUGAAUAAAUGAAUGAAUGAAUGAAUGAAUAAAUCAAGGAAAAGAGAAACAACAGAAUACUAGCAAGUACGAGUAAGCAAACCCUAAUGCGCCAAAGCCACGGUGUCAAAACUAGCAUGCAAGGACUAGCUAAAAGGAACGACAUUGAAUAAGAGAACUGAAUUGCAACUGAAAAGGAAAAGAAAAGAAAGGAAACAAGAAACAGCCCACCAUCAUGGAAGAGCAACAUUAUGACCAGAGAAAGACGUCAUGAAUAAGCUGGAUUAAAGGAAAUCAAAGGAACACCAAAACAUUAAUGAAUAUCAAGGAUGCACAGGGAAAUCAAGAACAAAUCAAGAAGCGAUAAUGAAACA
This is a long non-coding RNA of Osmia bicornis bicornis, 378 nucleotides long. RefSeq lists it as uncharacterized. The transcript has 3 exons. The record is from RefSeq and is a predicted model, not a curated record. NCBI's taxonomy places the organism in Eukaryota, Metazoa, Arthropoda, Insecta, Hymenoptera, Megachilidae.